GACGAACGCUGGCGGCGUGCUUAACACAUGCAAGUCGAACGGUAAGGCCCUUCGGGGUACACGAGUGGCGAACGGGUGAGUAACACGUGGGUGAUAUGCCCUGCACUUCGGGAUAAGCCUGGGAAACUGGGUCUAAUACCGGAUAGGAACUCGGGAUGCAUGUCCUGGGGUGGAAAGCUUUUGCGGUGUGGGAUGGGCCCACGGCCUAGCAGCUUGGUGGUGGGGUGAUGGCCUACCCAGGCGACGACGGGUAGCCGGCCUGGGAGGGUGAGCGGCGACAGUGGGACUAGGGUGCGAGCAAGACGCCUAGGGGAGGCAGAAGUGGGGAAUAGUGGAAAAAGGCCGCAAGCCGUUGGCAGCGACGCGUCGUGAGGGAUGACGGCCUUCGGGUAAUAAACCUUGUGCGGUACCGGCGAAGCGCAAGUGACGGUAGGUACAGAAGAAGGACCGGCCAACUACGUGCCAGCCGCCGCGGUAA
This 478-nucleotide ribosomal RNA is filed under the name uncultured bacterium. RNAcentral's name for it is "partial 16S ribosomal RNA". It matches the Rfam family "Bacterial small subunit ribosomal RNA", at positions 28 to 523 of the family's 1533-position model. The record is from RNAcentral.